Molecule: long non-coding RNA, 207 nt
Filed under: Elaeis guineensis (African oil palm)
Lineage: Eukaryota; Viridiplantae; Streptophyta; Magnoliopsida; Arecales; Arecaceae
Description: long non-coding RNA (EGUI_LNC003006)
Source: RNAcentral
GUAUCUUGAAUCAGAGCGAUAAUGGUUCACUCAUAAUUUUUUGGAAGAAUGGUGGGUCCAUAUUCAAUCUUAGAUCGACAUCUUGCCAUUGUGGUGCCUAUAGCUUGUCAAUCCAUUACUGGAUUUCUCAGAGCCUCCUCCCCAGGUCAUCCUCCCAAGUUAGGGGACGAUGAUAAGAAAAGUGACCCAAUGUCGAAUCCCUCUUUG